Molecule: ribosomal RNA, 322 nt
Filed under: uncultured eukaryote
Lineage: Eukaryota
Description: partial 18S ribosomal RNA
Rfam family: Eukaryotic small subunit ribosomal RNA
Source: RNAcentral
CCCUUAGAUGUUCUGGGCCGCACGCGUGCUACACUGAGUGGAUCAGCGGGUCAGGUUGCGCGAAAGUGUUUCCUAAUCUUGAAAUCCGCUCGUGAUGGGGAUUGACGGUUGCAAUUUUCCGUCAUGAACGAGGAAUACCUUGUAAGCGCGGGUCAUCAUCCCGCGCUGAAUACGUCCCUGCCCUUUGUACACACCGCCCGUCGCUCCUACCGAUUGAGUGGUCCGGUGAGGCUUUGGGAUCUGAGCGGGAAGAGCGUUUCGCUGUUUCUGCUCGGAAAACUCAGUCGAACCUUAUCAUUUAGAGGAAGGAGAAGUCGUAACA